This 460-nucleotide ribosomal RNA is filed under the name uncultured bacterium. RNAcentral describes it as "partial 16S ribosomal RNA". It matches the Rfam family "Bacterial small subunit ribosomal RNA", at positions 338 to 795 of the family's 1533-position model. The record is from RNAcentral.
CCUACGGGUGGCAGCAGUGAGGAAUAUUGGUCAAUGGGAGGAAUCCUGAACCAGCCAUGCCGCGUGCAGGACGACGGCUCUACGAGUUGUAAACUGCUUUUGUACCGGGGUAAAAUGCCUUACGUGUAGGGUUUUGAAAGUACGGUACGAAUAAGGAUCGGCUAACUCCGUGCCAGCAGCCGCGGUAAUACGGAGGAUCCGAGCGUUAUCCGGAUUUAUUGGGUUUAAAGGGUGCGUAGGUUGUUUUAUAAGUUAGGAGUGAAAUACCGAUGCUCAACAUCGGGGCUGCCGCUAAUACUGUAGGACUAGAGAUCGGAUGCAGCAGGCGGAAUGUGUAGUGUAGCGGUGAAAUGCAUAGAUAUUACACAGAACACCGAUUGCGAAGGCAGCUUGCUAGGCCGGAUCUGACACUGAUGCACGAAAGCGUGGGGAUCGAACAGGAUUAGAUACCCCUGUAGUC